RNAcentral lists this ribosomal RNA (414 nucleotides) under uncultured bacterium. Its description in RNAcentral is "partial 16S ribosomal RNA". It matches the Rfam family "Bacterial small subunit ribosomal RNA", at positions 355 to 774 of the family's 1533-position model. The record is from RNAcentral.
UUAGGAAUCUUCCACAAUGGGCGAAAGCCUGAUGGAGCGACGCCGCGUGAGGGAUGACGGUCUUCGGAUUGUAAACCUCUGAACUAGGGACGAAAGACGGUUUGCCGGGAUGACGGUACCUAGGUAAUAGCACCGGCUAACUCCGUGCCAGCAGCCGCGGUAAUACGGAGGGUGCGAGCGUUAUCCGGAAUCACUGGGCGUAAAGGGCGUGUAGGCGGGACGUUAAGUCUGGUUUUAAAGACCGCAGCCCAACUGCGGGAGUGGACUGGAUACUGGCGUUCUAGACCUCUGGAGAGGUAACUGGAAUUUCUGGUGUAGCGGUGGAAUGCGUAGAUACCAGAAGGAACACCAAUGGCGAAGGCAGGUUACUGGACAGAAGGUGACGCUGAGGCGCGAAAGUGUGGGGAGCAAACC